AAAGAGCUCAGGGAACGCUAAGUUGCAAAAAGCCCGUGGGUUUGAAUGGCGAUGUUUUGUACAUGACCCACGAGUGCCACAACGUUUGCUCAAGCUGAGUGUGUGUCAGUCUGUUCCACUGGGUAGCAGGACCAGGGUCACCCGGUUUUUAGAGGAGGGACUGGAACGAUAAUUACCGAUCACACCCCAGAGGCACAGAGCUCUCUACGCAUUUACAGUAAUAGAUGCCGUCUAAUCAAUCCCCAUCUGACAGCAUCAGCAGCCUCGUUCUAUAGAUGACGCCAAGGUUCUCCAGAGAGGGGAAGUCACUUGCAAUCAAUAGCAGAGCUAGGCUAAGGACUCAGGGGGUUCCCAGCUCCCAGUCCCAUGCUCAGACCACAUUUAACCGCUCACACUAGUUCUGCUUUUGCCAGUCUCUCCCACCUGCGCCCUCUUUAGCUUGUUACCUAGAGCAAAGGGCCUGAAUUAAAAUAUACAAGCGGGAUCAAAUCUGGAUCCAUAAUUUGCAGCUUCCAAGGGCCAUUUCCAGAACACAUCAUCUGAACAAUCCUGCGCAUUGGGGGAAUAUCCGGAUCCCUAGUUAUGACUGUGGGGUGAUGUGGGGAGAAGGGGUUGGCAGCCAUCCGUGGUUGCUGCCAUUUGAACAGGGUUUGCUGUUAUCAAAGCAAACACUGCACAUACAAGCUUUCAAUGGGAGUUCCCAGACGACUGCUAUUCCUCAGAUCAUCCAGUUUUAUUCCCUGAGCCACUAUGGGGACCUGGGACUUUUCAAUGAUCUUCUCUCUUUGGAACCACAGGGGCUCCCACAGCAUACAGCACAGCUGCCAGUUGCUUGGGUUUCCCCGUGGAAAUAGCAAUAUGGCUGCACAACAGUAUUAUUUAUCUGUACGGUGGUAGCACCUAGGAUUCCCAGGCAUGGACAAGGACCCGGAUCCUGUGGUGCUUAGGGGCUGUACAAGCGCAGAAUAAAACCGGUCCUUGCCCCAAAAAGCUGGCAAUCUAAGUAAAGCGAAGAUUGCAGGCUGUCCUGGAGAUGCGUGUGCCCUGAGGCCUCUUCAGUGCUGCUUGGGAUGCAGGAGGAAGGGGUAAUACGUACCCAAGCGAGAAGUGAACCCACCAUAUGGGACUCAUGCCCCAGCUUCUCUCAGCCUACAGACUCCCUAAGAAAAGGUCCCAGCCACACACAUGCCUCUGCUGGGGAUUUCCCGCAGCUGCGCGGAGAUCCCCACGGCUUCUUGGCAGCGGGUAUUGAGGGCUGCGUUGCCUAUGAACUGCAGAAGGCCUCUGCUCCCCCCCCAGCUCCAGCUUCACCCCCCACCUCUGUUUGCACAGAAGAAUUUGUUCCAGUCUGCACUUUCCCCAUAUGCCUCCCACUAUUAACCUCUUUGUGGCAACGUAGGGACCUGUUGCUUCCUAGCUGCGCCAGCUCAUUCCACUACAUUGUAUUAUAGGAAACUGCUGCAGGAGUGGACGCCUUGCUCUAGUCGCACAAUUUGAUUUUAUCCAACAGCUCAGCUAGGAGGCUUUGAGAGAGUCAGCAAGGGGAGGACAAAGCGGGGAUGGGACACUGAGUCUUUCACCUCGAGGUCACCAGUUCAAAUCCAGCUCAGGCUGGCAGAGCAGUUGGGUCUUUGGACAAAGACCCAGAUCACAAUGGAGAUGACAGCCUCAGGGGAGAACCAAAAGAUGCUGUCAGACACAGGGACCAAAGAGCCUCUACAGCAGCCCAGGUGUGUCCUUUUACUCAGUUAUGGUUUGCUGAUCAUCAGCUGCGUGCGUGCCCGACACUGCAUGGGACACACAGGGAUGUAAAUCUUUUACAGUCUUCAGCUGCAGAACCUACCUCUUUGGCCCACGCUGUUCCAGCUCCUGCAUUUAGCACUGGUAUGCCUUGGUUCAGUUCCUGAUGGUAGCCAGCUCAAACACUUGAGGUCCCUGCAAUGGUGGAGAGAAAAUCCCUUCCUAAGCUCACAUGUGGGGCUUGGUGGAGUCUGGUGCGUGUGAGCCAGAGUCACUGGAGCUCAGCAGUUCUUUCUCGUUACCCCAAGGUAACGCCUGUCUCUUCCUCCGACCCUCCAGAGCGAUGCUCAAAGGUGUGGGAACUGGGAGCUUAACUGUCAGAUGUGCCUUGGAAAAUUCCAUCCUAAAUCCACAUUUAGGCACCCUAAUAAAGUGGCUUGAUUUUCAAAAGUGCGGCGUGCCCAGCAGCUCCCACUGAAACUCAUACUCUACAUGUCUGGCAGGGGGGGUUG
This is a long non-coding RNA of Trachemys scripta elegans, 2252 nucleotides long. RefSeq lists it as uncharacterized. NCBI's taxonomy places the organism in Eukaryota, Metazoa, Chordata, Testudines, Emydidae. The transcript has 3 exons. The record is from RefSeq and is a predicted model, not a curated record.